RNAcentral lists this long non-coding RNA (1252 nucleotides) under Homo sapiens (human). RNAcentral's name for it is "HSALNT0299263". The record is from RNAcentral. Lineage: Eukaryota; Metazoa; Chordata; Mammalia; Primates; Hominidae.
UGUGCACCACCCUCUCACCCAAACGAAGGCAGCUGGCCCUGAAGUUCUCUGAGCUUGAGGACAAAAAAAGACCUCUGUGAGUUGUCAGGCUCUGUUACAGUCUGGGUCAGCAGACAAGAGUCCCAGGGCUCGGCCGUCUUCUCUAGGAGAGAAAAUAUUCGUGCCAUAUAGCGUGUUCUAAGAGUUCUCACCAGAAGCCCAGAAAGUUCUGUAUUUACUCAGCAUUCAAGGGAAAACAGACCCUGUAUUUUUGGGAUUCCUGAAAGGUGACCAGAGGAAUAUCCACAGAAGCAGAAGUAGGAAUGGGGAAGGAGGGGACAAGUUUAGACCAAGCUCUUCUGUGACCUCACUUCUGCUUUUGAAGUCCCACAGCUCUAUAAGGCCAGGGUCAAAGGAACCUAAUGUGAAAAUGUUUCAGUCUUUUGAUGAAGUAUUCCAGAACACAGAACUCCUUAUCAUACAGAACAUCAAGUUCCUUUAAGAUAUGGGUUGCUAUCUCCAAUUCAUUUUGGGAAGAGGCUACCUUCAUCCCCAAACAGGAACUGCUGCAAGGCCCGCAGCAGCCAUGGGUGAGUGGCUCUGGAGAUGGGGUAAGUGGCCUACGCACCCCAGAGGAACAGCUGGCAGCCUAGUCUUCGGGCAGCAGCUCCACUCAGCCCUGGGGAAUGACAGAUACAGACAACCAGUUAUGCCAGUGAAGUGCCCUAAACUAGAGAUAGCUGGGGCGCUGUCAGCCACCUUAACAGUGAGAAGAAGCAACAGGAUGAAGUGGAAACAGCGUCACACAGAUGGAGCCUCGAAUCCCAGCAUGCUAGCCAUGUGUCAUCUUCAUAGUCUUCCUAACGUCUGUGGCCUCAGAUGCCACAUCAGUAAAUGGCACACCAUAUGUGAUUUAGGCUAAGGGCCUGAGUGUAAUAGUUGCUUAGGAAUUAUAGCCCUUCUUAAAUAAAUGGAGAAACAGUCCAUGUUCAUGGAUUGGAAGCCUCAAUGUUAUUAAGAUGGCAAAUCUCCCCAGAGUGACCUGUAGAUGCAACACAAUCCCUAUCAAAAUCCCAGCAGGCUUUUCACUCCUUUUUAAUAAGGACACCGGUCAUAUUGUAUUAAGGUCCAUCCUAAUGACCUCAUCUUAACUCAGCUACAUCUGCAAACACCUUAAUCCAAAUAUGACAUUCUGAGGUACUGGGAUUAGGGCUUCAAAAUAUCUUUUUGGGGGAACACAAGUCAACCCAUAACAGAUAAUUAACACAAAUAC